This 270-nucleotide ribosomal RNA is filed under the name uncultured bacterium. RNAcentral's name for it is "partial 16S ribosomal RNA". It matches the Rfam family "Bacterial small subunit ribosomal RNA", at positions 87 to 354 of the family's 1533-position model. The record is from RNAcentral.
CCCGGCGACCGGCGCACGGGUGAGUAACACGUAUGCAACCUGGCCGCCACAGGGGGAUAACCCGCGGAAACGCGGCCUAAUACCCCGUGACGCCACCGGAGGGCAUCCUCCGGUGGCCAAAGGAGCGAUCCGGUGGCGGAUUGGGCAUGCGGCGCAUUAGCUAGACGGCGGGGUGACGGCCCACCGUGGCGACGAUGCGUAGGGGUUCUGAGAGGAAGGCCCCCCACACUGGGACUGAGACACGGCCCAGACUCCUACGGGAGGCAGCAG